Amphiprion ocellaris (clown anemonefish) is the source of this 744-nucleotide long non-coding RNA. NCBI's taxonomy places the organism in Eukaryota, Metazoa, Chordata, Actinopteri, Pomacentridae. The record is from Ensembl.
ACGAGGCUAAGCUAGUGGGGGCAAAGUUUCAGUGCAUUCCGUUGAUGUAGACGGCGUGAAAACGGAAACAAGUAUGCCGUCUCACUGUGCUGCAUACAAUUACACACUGCGUCGUACGAUUGAGACAAGGAAACUUGGAAUGACUUUUCAUAGGUUUCCCAGAGACUAUGGGUUGAGGAGGAAUUGGAAGUUUGUCGGCUUAGACCUGGUGUCAUUCCAUCAGUGUUAAACUUCCCGGCUCAUCUUGGAAGAGUCUGUGCCAGAAAGACCACGACCAAGCAGCCUUGAGAUCUUAGGCAGCAUCUCCCUGAGGUCCCUCUCUAUCUCCCCACGCAUCCACCAACCACUGGAACACAUCUCCAAAGUUCUGCCAGGCCAGCUCAGCUUCCCCUCAGAAGAAGUUCCACCACCUGCCAGAUGAAGGAGCCUUUUGAGAGGCAGCUGGCAUCGUGAUUGGACUGUACUUUGGUCUGUUCCAAUCCAGCUUCAGCUCCAGAGACGGCAGGCGGGACGAGUCAACGGAGGCCGGGUGGACGAAGGCAUGCAGCUGAGUACAAUCCAGAAAACAACAGAGGAGGAGUGCAGUGGCCCAGGGCCAGAACAAACAUUAGCAUCAUAUGUCUCUUAGAAAACAUCAUAGUAUAGCCUUUGGGAUGAAAAAACGCCAUCAUAUACAUCGUAUAUUGUACAAAUAACAAGUCAAAGGAAAGAGACAUCAACUGUAGAAUUGUAGUAAUUGUGGGC